GAUGAACGCUGGCGGCGUGCCUAAUACAUGCAAGUCGAGCGAACGGACGAGAAGCUUGCUUCUCUGAUGUUAGCGGCGGACGGGUGAGUAACACGUGGAUAACCUACCUAUAAGACUGGGAUAACUUCGGGAAACCGUAGCUAAUACCGGAUAAUAUUUUGAACCGCAUGGUUCAAAAGUGAAAGAAGGUAUUGCUGUCACUUAUAGAUGGAUCCGCGCUGCAUUAGCUAGUUGGUAAGGUAACGGCUUACCAAGGCAACGAUGCAUAGCCGACCUGAGAGGGUGUCCGGCCACACUGGAACUUAGACACGGUCCAGACUACUACGGGAGGCAGCAGUAGAGAAUCUUCCGCAAUGGGCGAAAGCCUGACGGAGCAACGCCGCGUGAGUGAUGAAGGUCUUCGGAUCGUAAAACUCUGUUAUUAGGGAAGAACAUAUGUGUAAGUAACUGUGCACAUCUUGACGGUACCUAAUCAGAAAGCCACGGCUAACUACGUG
Molecule: ribosomal RNA, 497 nt
Filed under: uncultured bacterium
Lineage: Bacteria
Description: partial 16S ribosomal RNA
Rfam family: Bacterial small subunit ribosomal RNA
Source: RNAcentral